This 497-nucleotide ribosomal RNA is filed under the name uncultured bacterium. RNAcentral describes it as "partial 16S ribosomal RNA". It matches the Rfam family "Bacterial small subunit ribosomal RNA", at positions 28 to 507 of the family's 1533-position model. The record is from RNAcentral.
GAUGAACGCUGGCGGCGUGCCUAAUACAUGCAAGUCGAGCGAACAGACGAGGAGCUUGCUCCUCUGACGUUAGCGGCGGACGGGUGAGUAACACGUGGAUAACCUACCUAUAAGACUGGGAUAACUUCGGGAAACCGGAGCUAAUACCGGAUAAUAUAUUGAACCGCAUGGUUCAAUAGUGAAAGACGGUUUUGCUGUCACUUAUAGAUGGAUCCGCGCCGCAUUAGCUAGUUGGUAAGGUAACGGCUUACCAAGGCAACGAUGCGUAGCCGACCUGAGAGGGUGAUCGGCCACACUGGAACUGAGACACGGUCCAGACUCCUACGGGAGGCAGCAGUAGGGAAUCUUCCGCAAAGGGCGAAAGCCUGACGGAGCAACGCCGCGUGAGUGAUGAAGGUCUUCGGAUCGUAAAACUCUGUUAUUAGGGAAGAACAAAUGUGUAAGUAACUAUGCACGUCUUGACGGUACCUAAUUAGAAAGCCACGGCUAACUACGUG